AGCGAACGCUGGCGGCAGGCCUAACACAUGCAAGUCGAACGAAGUCUUCGGACUUAGUGGCGGACGGGUGAGUAACACGUGGGAACGUACCUUUUGGUUCGGAACAACUCAGGGAAACUUGAGCUAAUACCGGAUGAGCCCUUAGGGGGAAAGAUUUAUCGCCGAAAGAGCGGCCCGCGUUAGAUUAGCUAGUUGGUGAGGUAAAGGCUCACCAAGGCUACGAUCUAUAGCUGGUCUGAGAGGAUGAUCAGCCACACUGGGACUGAGACACGGCCCAGACUCCUACGGGAGGCAGCAGUGGGGAAUCUUGCGCAAUGGGCGAAAGCCUGACGCAGCCAUACCGCGUGAAUGAUGAAGGUCUUAGGAUUGUAAAAUUCUUUUACCAGGGACGAUAAUGACGGUACCUGGAGAAAAAGCCCCGGCUAACUUCGUGCCAGCCGCCGCGGUAA
Molecule: ribosomal RNA, 449 nt
Filed under: uncultured bacterium
Lineage: Bacteria
Description: partial 16S ribosomal RNA
Rfam family: Bacterial small subunit ribosomal RNA
Source: RNAcentral